This 431-nucleotide ribosomal RNA is filed under the name uncultured bacterium. Its description in RNAcentral is "bacterial SSU rRNA". It matches the Rfam family "Bacterial small subunit ribosomal RNA", at positions 28 to 507 of the family's 1533-position model. The record is from RNAcentral.
GACGAACGCUGGCGGCGUGCUUAACACAUGCAAGUCGAGCGCCCCGCAAGGGGAGCGGCGGACGGGUGAGUAACACGUGGGAAUUUUCCUCAAGGUACGGAACAACUCAGGGAAACUUGGGCUAAUACCGUAUGAUGCAGAGAUGCCAAAGAUUUAUCGCCUUGGGAUAAGCCCGCGUCAGAUUAGGUAGUUGGUGGGGUAAUGGCCUACCAAGCCUGUGAUCUGUAGCUGGUCUGAGAGGACGAUCAGCCACAUUGGGACUGAGACACGGCCCAAACUCCUACGGGAGGCAGCAGUGGGGAAUCUUGCGCAAUGGGCGAAAGCCUGACGCAGCCAUGCCGCGUGAAUGAUGAAGGUCUUAGGAUUGUAAAGUUCUUUAGCCUGUGACGAUGAUGACGGUAACAGGAGAAUAAGCCCCGGCUAACUUCGUG